Molecule: ribosomal RNA, 394 nt
Filed under: uncultured bacterium
Lineage: Bacteria
Description: bacterial SSU rRNA
Rfam family: Bacterial small subunit ribosomal RNA
Source: RNAcentral
GACGAACGCUGGCGGCGUGCUUAACACAUGCAAGUCGAGCGGUAAGGCCCUUUCGGGGGUACACGAGCGGCGAACGGGUGAGUAACACGUGGGUGACCUGCCCUCAGCUCUGGGAUAAGCCUGGGAAACUGGGUCUAAUACCGGAUAUGACUCCAUGACGCAUGUUGUGGGGUGGAAAGCCUUGUGCGGCUGAGGAUGGGCCCGCGGCCUAUCAGCUUGUUGGUGGGGGAUGGCCUACCAAGGCGACGACGGGUAGCCGGCCUGAGAGGGCGACCGGCCACACUGGGACUGAGACACGGCCCAGACUCCUACGGGAGGCAGCAGUGGGGAAUCUUGCGCAAUGGGCGAAAGCCUGACGCAGCGACGCCGCGUGAGGGAUGACGGCCUGGUGUAA